UAUGAUAUUGGCUUGAAACCAGUUAGAGGGGGUUCGAUUCCUUCCUUUNNUA
RNAcentral lists this transfer RNA (52 nucleotides) under Equus sp. RNAcentral describes it as "partial tRNA-Ser". Lineage: Eukaryota; Metazoa; Chordata; Mammalia; Perissodactyla; Equidae. The record is from RNAcentral.